Molecule: ribosomal RNA, 273 nt
Filed under: uncultured bacterium
Lineage: Bacteria
Description: partial 16S ribosomal RNA
Rfam family: Bacterial small subunit ribosomal RNA
Source: RNAcentral
UACGAAGGGGGCUAGCGUUGUUCGGAAUUACUGGGCGUAAAGCGCACGUAGGCGGAUAUUUAAGUCAGGGGUGAAAUCCCAGAGCUCAACUCUGGAACUGCCUUUGAUACUGGGUAUCUCGAGUAUGGAAGAGGUGAGUGGAAUUCCGAGUGUAGAGGUGAAAUUCGUAGAUAUUCGGAGGAACACCAGUGGCGAAGGCGGCUCACUGGUCCAUUACUGACGCUGAGGUGCGAAAGCGGGGGGAGCACACAGGAUUCGAUAACACGGUAGUCC